RNAcentral lists this long non-coding RNA (288 nucleotides) under Zonotrichia albicollis (white-throated sparrow). RNAcentral describes it as "lncRNA (ENSZALG00000004414.1)". Lineage: Eukaryota; Metazoa; Chordata; Aves; Passeriformes; Passerellidae. The record is from RNAcentral.
AUGCUCAGAAGCAAUGAGCAAAGAGAGAUAAGGUUGCAGCAAUGGAUGCAAGUGAUACCAGAAACAGUAUUGGUGAUAGCAGUGACUUGCCAAGAUCCCCUGGAAAGACAUCUAUCAGUGCUUUUUUCUGUAAGCUGGCUCUUCACCCUAUGUACACAGCAGACAAGAAACCCAGAAAAGAGGUUUCAAAGCAGUCUAAAUCUGUGUCGGAAAGGUAACACUGGUGUGUGUUGUGUCAAGUGAACUUUCAUUAAUAAAAAGAGCAGUAUUGUGUAUGUGUGUUGCUGA